AUUGAACGCUUGCGGCAGGCCUAACACAUGCAAGUCGAGCGGAGCGGCGGACGGGUGAGUAAUGCAUAGGAAUCUGCCUGGUAGUUGGGGAUAACGUCCGGAAACGGGCGCUAAUACCGCAUACUAUCAGAUGAGCCUAGGUCGGAUUAGCUAGUGGGUGGGGUAAAGGCCUACCAAGGCGAAGAUCCGUAACUGGUCUGAGAGGAUGAUCAGUCACACUGGAACUGAGACACGGCCCAGACGCCUACGGGAGGCAGCAGUGGGGAAUAUUGCACAAUGGGCGCAAGCCUGAUGCAGCCAUGCCGCGUGUAUGAAGAAGGCCGUAGGGUUGUAAAGUACUUUCAGCGGGGAGGCGUUACCCGCAGAAGAAGCACCGGCUAACUCCGUGCCAGCCGCCGCGGUAAUUC
RNAcentral lists this ribosomal RNA (407 nucleotides) under uncultured bacterium. RNAcentral's name for it is "partial 16S ribosomal RNA". It matches the Rfam family "Bacterial small subunit ribosomal RNA", at positions 30 to 526 of the family's 1533-position model. The record is from RNAcentral.